Molecule: long non-coding RNA, 1464 nt
Filed under: Rattus norvegicus (Norway rat)
Lineage: Eukaryota; Metazoa; Chordata; Mammalia; Rodentia; Muridae
Description: long non-coding RNA NONRATT032032
Source: RNAcentral
CUUUGAUGUAAGUGCCACCAGACAGUGGCAGCCAUGUUGGAGAGUCUGUAACACUUAGGCCACGUUAGGAUGUUCAUGAUGUCAAGGGACCAGGAACUGCCAGGUGAGUAGUGGGCAGAAGGUAGCUCCCCCAAAGGCAGGUCUGUGUGCUAUCUCCUGGGAUCCGAGAGUGUGACCUUAUUUGGAAAAAGAGUCUUGCAAGUAUAGCGGCGGGAAGAAGCUUGAGGUGAGGUCAUCCUGCACUUUGCGAACGGCUCUAAAUCCAACACAAGUGUCCUGUGAAGGUAGAGUCAGAGUCUAGAGUGAGUAGUCAAAGAUGCCUGGAAGCCCCAGAGCUGUAUCAGGCAGGAAGAAGCCUCCUCAGGGCCGGCAGCCAGUCCAACUUGACCUCAGACUUCUGUUGUCCUGAAUUGGGAAGGUAAAUUUAAGACCACCAGAUUUUAAUUUUAAUCUGAGGAGGCUCAAGACCAGAAUGCAUUUUGUGAGCCCCACACAGCUAGUUUUUGACCAAGGAGGCUAAUUCCCCACACUGCUGCAGUUCAGCAGGGGUCUGCAAGAGCUGGCCGACGGCAGGCCAGAGGCUUGGGGGAGGAUCAGAGGAGCAGAAGUACCCUGUCUGGAGUCCUCUUUUCUGCAUGUGUCGCCCAUUGGAAAACAAGUGUAAAGUCCCUCGAGUCACACACAGCCAGACUGGGCAGAAGCACUGAGCCAAGACCUCAGGUAUCUGGCUCCCAUAGGCCUCAUCAGACCUUGUGGAGUUUGAAAAUGAGACAAGGCUCCCUGCUUUGGGAGGGUAGAUACAGAGGCCAUCAGUCACAGGGUGGUGUUGGUUGCUGUCACAGAAGUUCUGCCAGGCAGGACCUAUAGCUCGCCAGCACGAUAGGGUGACCAGGCUGAUCCUCCAGGGACCAGCUGUCAGUGUGACACUCUCCAGAUGGAAUGUGUCCCCAAGAUGGGUGUGCUGUGCUAGGGCAUCUUUAGGCUAGAGUUCAGGCAGCCCUGGGGCAGGGCAGGCUCCCCUACUUUGUAUCCUCAGCUCUUCUUGUUAUUCUGAGGCUGGGUAAGUUUCUUCCAAACCUAUGUGUUCUUGGGGGAAGCGUGGCUAUCAUUCCUGAGAAGGAUGCGGGCCACUGGUUGGUUUGAUAAAUACAGCAGCAUGUCCUCCUUUUCUAGGGUGCAAUCCCUGUGUCUUCCAUCACAUAAACUCUGCCCCAUCCUUCACUGAAAGGUCUCUUCACACGUAUUUGUCUUCCCAGAAUACUGUCGGGGCUCUGCAUCUAAGCAUUUAGCGUUCUUUGCCCAGGGUUCAGCUCAGGUGCCGGUUCACUGUGAAGAUGCCCUAACACCUGGACCCCCACCGAGGUCAACCCUCUGAGCCCCUGAGCACAGCAUUAUUGGAGAAGCGUGCUGGUAGACAGUCCUGAGCUCCGCAUUGCUUCGAGGGGUCGAGUGUGCGACCCUGGC